This 253-nucleotide ribosomal RNA is filed under the name uncultured bacterium. RNAcentral describes it as "partial 16S ribosomal RNA". It matches the Rfam family "Bacterial small subunit ribosomal RNA", at positions 524 to 776 of the family's 1533-position model. The record is from RNAcentral.
UACGUAGGGGGCAAGCGUUGUCCGGAUUUACUGGGCGUAAAGAGCGUGUAGGCGGCCAAGCAGGUCCGUUGUGAAAACUGGAGGCUUAACCUCCAGACGUCGACGGAAACCGCGUGGCUAGAGUCCGGAAGAGGAGAGUGGAAUUCCUGGUGUAGCGGUGAAAUGCGCAGAUAUCAGGAAGAACACCAAUGGCGAAGGCAGCUCUCUGGGACGGUACUGACGUUGAGACGCGAAAGCGUGGGGAGCAAACAGG